CAAAUUAGAGCUUGAAUAUAAGUAUUUCAUUUACAUUGAAAAGAUAUUAUUUUAUAUAAUUAAUUUGG
Molecule: transfer RNA, 68 nt
Filed under: Ampelophaga rubiginosa
Lineage: Eukaryota; Metazoa; Arthropoda; Insecta; Lepidoptera; Sphingidae
Description: tRNA-Val
Source: RNAcentral